CCGGAUUUCCUUUUAACUAUGGAAAAAUGCUUUAUAAUUUUUUAAGGUCCGCAUAAGUUUGCAAAUUUAAAAAGAGAUAUUCCACACAGUGUCAUCCCCCAAACAAUCUAAGACAAUACAAUAAAUUGUUUUAUCACUAAUAACAUUCACUUAAACAAUAAGGUUUACUGAGGAUAAUGCUUGGGGUCUCAACUGUUUAAUAAGUACUAGUGAGUUUCUAGUUUGUGCCAGAGGUCUGAAUGUCAGUAUUCAACACUGCAGAUGAUGACCUAUUUGCCAAAAGGAAGUUAAAAUUUAUAUCUGUCACAAGCAGGUAAGAGCUGCUCGGGAAAACAGCUACUAAAACCAGUAAUAAUGUAUUCAGCCCUUUCCUAAACAGUGAAUAUUAAGGCAUAGUUGUAACUAGAAGAGGGAAGAACUGACAUUUCUCAGCUGCCAGCACCAUAGCUAGCUAGGCUGUCUGUCCUCUUGGUCCUUUCUCGCAGUUCUGAAAGGCGCCUGCUGGCAUUGCUGUGGAGGUAUCUACUCACCAAUUUAUCUGACAGGUGGUUAGCUAUUAACAUAAAUAAAAGUUGUGACCUGUCUGCCACUUUCAAUAACUCAAGUGCUAUAUCCCCAAUCUGUCAUGUCCUUGGCAGCCCUUUUGUUUAUUAGUAAAUGCAUUAUUCAUUAGGAAAACCUGAUAGGAAAAAUUGCCUUAAUUUUAUUCAUUUUAAUUGUACUCUGCUAUUAUCCCUUUAGCAGCAGUUUUCUUUGCUGUACUCUGGCUGUUAUGAGAACUAAUGGUGACUGGGCUUGUUGAUAUGCCACUACAAAGGAACAUGAAGGAGGAUGACACUUUGCUGCUGCCUUGUACAAGUUCUUCAAGAUGUGCAGGGAUAAAUAAGGUUGUACAACUAACUUCACCAUAGUGAAACAGUUCAAUUUCUGAAGUUGAUUUUCAAUGUAUGAACAUAAUAGGAACUACACUGGGACAAUCCAAAGGUCUUUCUAACCCAGUGUCCGAUCUCCUAAAGCAGCUGGCAGUGAAUUUUAGCAGUGACACACACAAUGAAGCCCAGGAAAGUAAGAGGUGCUAUAUAAUGAGAACACUCUCAUUGGCCUUCAGAUUGCAAGAAAUGGUGAUGUACAAAGACAUGAGACAGGAUUUCCAAUUCUCACAAAGAGUGCCUUAUUUGUGAGAAAUGGCACGAGGUCAGAAGAGGAAGUAAACCUGCUAGGACCAGAUCUCUGAUUCAUUUACAUAAAACAGAUGAUCCCUCAUGCUAGUAUGACCUGAUGCUACUCAGUAUCUGCCAAAACAAAAAGGGAAACACCCCAAGCUGGCAAUGAAAUGCUAGAUAAAAUCAGGCACCAUUACUCUUAUUUUUUACAAAACUUAUAUUUUCUAUCAUGCUCUGAUGCUAAUCUAAUUGCUACUCAUCAACUUACUUCUUUUCACGUUUUGAAUUUCAUGUAUAUGGGAAAAUCAUGAGAACCGGAAAAAAUCUGGAACAUUGAGAUACAAAAAAGAUUUGGGUUUGCAUUCAGAGAGCUACAGCUAGGCAAACUGCUGGCCAAAGACAUGAUUUAAUUCUAACAUUGCGACCCUGCCAGAAAGGAAGAGAAGCUAGAAGCAUAACACAGAGCCAGAGAUGACCACUAAACUGAUAUUUUCUUGGAUUAACACAGAUUAAUUUUUAAAACAGAAGAACAAUUUUUGCAGUAUUACUGAUAAAUAACUCUCAAAUUAGACAGAUUCCAAAAUUAAGGGAAUUCUUGAUCCAAAUUUCAAGUGCAGAAAUGAAACCAUAAUUGUGCAAAUGCAAGCCAUUUCUAAAAACAUCAGGUGAUAUUUUGAUGUAAGUAACAUACCACUUGUUAUAUCUAGCAGCUACUAUCUUGUCACUCUCUCCACUUGCAAUCACAGAUUGAGUGCUUGUCAGGAAUCCAAACUUUAUCUGUAUCUUUGAAAACAAAAGAAAAUGAGGGAAUGUUUAUACUUCUAAAGACCUUAAGAGACGGAGAAAAAAAUGUUUCACUGGCAUUUAUGGGCAUCAUUAAAAACAAACAUUUUGCCAUCAACACGAACAGGCCAUCACUGUCAAGACAAAAUCAGCCUUUCUACCUGUUGAAGAACAUUGUCAUAAUGAUCAGGGCACAAAUGAAUUCCCUUUAUCUGUAUGCUCAGAAAGUUGCCUG
This 2181-nucleotide long non-coding RNA is filed under the name Anas platyrhynchos platyrhynchos (common mallard). RNAcentral describes it as "lncRNA (ENSAPLG00000026607.1)". Lineage: Eukaryota; Metazoa; Chordata; Aves; Anseriformes; Anatidae. The record is from RNAcentral.